AAAAUAAGCUAUGAAUAAAAAUACAAUAAAUAAUAUUGAUACUGAAAAAAAUAAACAACCAUUGUGUAAAGACAUUAAGGAGGAGCAAAACGAUGUGGAAAAAAAAAACAAGGACAACACAAGUAACAAUGAUUUCGAAAAAAAUAAACUAAAAAAAGCAAAGGAUAAUGCUCAAAAUAAAAAUAUAUGUAAAACAUUUAAUUAUGUAAAAUAUUAUGAACGUGUAAAAAAAUGGACAGAACAUAGACGAGGUAAUUUUAGCUUUGAAAAGAAAAGUAUUAAAAAAAUAAUUAACAAAACAUACAAAAGUAAUUGUAUAAAAGAUAAUUAUAUAAUAAAUAAACAUAAUAAUAGUAAAAAAAGAAAAUAUGAUACAAAGGAGUGUCCCAUUUUAACUGAGCAAAAAACAAAACAAAGCAAAAUAGAUAAUGUCAUGGGACAUAUAGUGGGGCAUAAGAAAAUAUGUAAAAAAAAUUGGAAAAAUAUAAAAAUUAGUACGGAUAAGAAUAAAGGGUAUAACUAUUUGAAUGACAAUAAUAAUAAAAAAAGACAAAACGACAAAUUAAGAGACGAGUUAAGCAAUAACAUGAACAUAAUCGGUAGUGAUAAUAAUAAUAAUAAUAAUAAUAAAUAUGAUGAGCUAAUAGAAAACGACAUAAAUAAACUUUUAAAAAACAGUAAUGUUAAAAACGAUUUUUAUUAUUAUAAUUAUGAAACGGAUUCUGAGAAUAAUAGUAACAAUGUCUAUGACAAAAACAAUGGCAACAAAGAAAUGAUGGAAGAAAUAUAUAAUAAUAUGUCAAAAGAAAUAUCGAACAAAAUAGUAUUUAAUAAUGCAGAAAAAAAAGACAAUGUAUAUUCAAAUAACAAUUUAAUAGAUGAUUUUACCAAUUUAAAUUUAAAUUCGUUUAAUAAAUAUUCAAAUCAUCCUACCACUUUUCUACAAUCGAAUGAAACGGAUUCAACUAUUUUCGACAUGAAAAAAUAUAAUACAAAUGUCAUAAAAAAUGAUCGAUCCAAAAGAAACUAUAACAAAGUAUAUACAAAAAUAAGUACAAUACCUAGUUUAUAUUCUUUACACCGUGUUACUACAAAAAGAACAGAAACUAUAGCUGCAGAAAAACAAAAAGAGG
RNAcentral lists this long non-coding RNA (1133 nucleotides) under Piliocolobus tephrosceles (Ugandan red Colobus). Its description in RNAcentral is "lncRNA (ENSPTEG00000001296.1)". Lineage: Eukaryota; Metazoa; Chordata; Mammalia; Primates; Cercopithecidae. The record is from RNAcentral.